UGGGGAAUAUUGCACAAUGGGGGAAACCCUGAUGCAGCGACGCCGCGUGAGUGGUGAAGGUUUUCGGAUCGUAAAGCUCUGUCCUAAGGGAAGAUAGUGACGGUACCUUAGGAGGAAGCCCCGGCUAACUACGUGCCAGCAGCCGCGGUAAUACGUAGGGGGCGAGCGUUAUCCGGAAUUAUUGGGCGUAAAGGGUACGUAGGCGGCUAAAUAAGUCAGGCGUGAAAGGCAUCGGCUCAACCGGUGUAAGCGCUUGAAACUGUUUGGCUUGAGUACAGGAGAGGAAAGUGGAAUUCCUAGUGUAGCGGUGAAAUGCGUAGAUAUUAGGAGGAACACCAGUGGCGAAGGCGACUUUCUGGACUGUAACUGACGCUGAGGUACGAAAGCGUGGGGAGCGAACA
RNAcentral lists this ribosomal RNA (401 nucleotides) under uncultured bacterium. Its description in RNAcentral is "bacterial SSU rRNA". It matches the Rfam family "Bacterial small subunit ribosomal RNA", at positions 355 to 774 of the family's 1533-position model. The record is from RNAcentral.